AUUGAACGCUGGCGGCAUGCCUUACACAUGCAAGUCGAACGGUAACGCGGGGCAACCUGGCGACGAGUGGCGAACGGGUGAGUAAUGCAUCGGAACGUGCCCAGGAGUGGGGGAUAGCCCGGCGAAAGCCGGAUUAAUACCGCAUACGACCUACGGGUGAAAGGGGGGGAUCGCAAGACCUCUCGCUAUUGGAGCGGCCGAUGUCAGGUUGGGUAGUUGGUGGGGGAAAAGCCUACCAAGCCGACGAUCUGUAGCUGGUCUGAGAGGACGACCAGCCAGACUGGGGCUGAGACACGGCCCAGACUCCUACGGGAGGCAGCAGUGGGGAAUUUUGGACAAGGGGGGAAACCCUGAUCCAGCCAUGCCGCGUGCGGGAAGAAGGCCUUCGGGUUGUAAACCGCUUUUGUCAGGGAAGAAACGCUCUGGGCUAAUACCUUGGAGUAAUGACGGUACCUGAAGAAUAAGCACCGGCUAACUACGUGCCAGCCGCCGCAGUAA
RNAcentral lists this ribosomal RNA (498 nucleotides) under uncultured bacterium. RNAcentral describes it as "partial 16S ribosomal RNA". It matches the Rfam family "Bacterial small subunit ribosomal RNA", at positions 29 to 523 of the family's 1533-position model. The record is from RNAcentral.